GACGAACGCUGGCGGCGUGCCUAAUACAUGCAAGUAGAACGCUGAAGGAGGAGCUUGCUUCUCUGGAUGAGUUGCGAACGGGUGAGUAACGCGUAGGUAACCUGCCUGGUAGCGGGGGAUAACUAUUUGAAACGAUAGCUAAUACCGCAUAAUAGUAGAUGUUGCAUGACAUUUGCUUAAAAGGUGCAAUUGCAUCACUACCAGAUGGACCUGCGUUGUAUUAGCUAGUUGGUGAGGUAACGGCUCACCAAGGCAACGAUACAUAGCCGACCUGAGAGGGUGAUCGGCCACCCUGGGACUGAGACACGGCCCAGACUCCUACGGGAGGCAGCAGUAGGGAAUCUUCGGCAAUGGACGGAAGUCUGACCGAGCAACGCCGCGUGAGUGAAGAAGGUUUUCGGAUCGUAAAGCUCUGUUGUAAGAGAAGAACGAGUGUGAGAGUGGAAAGUUCACACUGUGACGGUAUCUUACCAGAAAGAGACGGCUAACUACGUG
This 495-nucleotide ribosomal RNA is filed under the name uncultured bacterium. RNAcentral describes it as "partial 16S ribosomal RNA". It matches the Rfam family "Bacterial small subunit ribosomal RNA", at positions 28 to 507 of the family's 1533-position model. The record is from RNAcentral.